CACAAAUGCUUUGGCUUAAGACCUUGACAUUCAUUCCUUCUCCACAGGCAUUUAUGUCAGGAGAACUCAAUUGUUUGAGUACACAUGGAAAGUAAAUGCGAGAAGUGCCCCGGUCUGACUAAAGCAAAUUCACUGAAAAAUGUAAGAAGGAGAAAGGUAUAAAGUGAAGAUGUGAGGCUGCAGAACUGGAGUGUGGUCAGGCAUAGAGAUAAGCCUUGUAGCUGGUUUGAGCUCAGGUAUUUUUAUUGCUUAUGCAGGAAUUAGUUGCAUGUGGAAUCUGACAGUGGGUCACACAGCCUGGCUGGAACAGGUCUGGAACUCUGACCUCUGGAUUGCCAAGUUACUGCAAUCAGUGUUUUCCUGUGCUGUAUUUGUUAUUGGUAUUAUAAUCAUAUGCUGCUCUGAAAGGGAAUGAAAGGUGUACUGCAAACCAUCCAGUAUAUAAAUAAUGUCAUUGUUCUAAACAGUCUGAGGUAGUUAUAGGGCUGCAAGUUCCAGUUUGAGGCAGCGGGCUCCUGAUGAGGCAGCCUCUGCAAAGGAAAGUCAGGAGGCACAAAGAAUUAAAGAACAAAUCUUUAUCAUAGUUUCUGUUUGCCCCUUGUUCCUCAGGCCCUGAAGUGCCAAGGUUGCAAAGUGUCUUGAAAGUUUCUGAGAUUUUUAUUUUCUCAAAUGGAAUGAAAGCAGUUCAGAGCAGCACAUUUGUUAUAGUUCUGUGUCCAGUUGGAAAGUAGAGGGACUUCUGAGGGCAAAGCCCUUGUUUUGGCACCUGAUUCAAGACAGCAGUUUUGCUUCAUCUCCUUGUUACCAGAAAUAUAAAGUAUUGUUGAGCUGAUGAUGUUUGCAGCUGUGGCAGGGAGGCUGUAUUGCUUCCAUGUGAUUGCCCAGAGUAUUGACAGAAAACACUCUGAAAACACAGGAUAUUCAGAGUGGAGAGCUCAGAGGGCACCACAGGCCAAGCUAAAGCCCGAGAUACCAGUUCAGGUAAGAGCUGGAGACUUCUGAAGCUGAAAACGAAAAGCCUAAAUGUGAUGUCACAGAUAAAGGAAUGGCAAAAGCAGGUGCUGAGGGUGGAGUAGUUGGCAGCUGUAUUCCCAAUAAACCAAAGAACUCGGGGCGACAAGCAGGAAAAGGGUGUCUUCCUGGUCACUUGGAUAAGUCAAAUUUCACUGAAGAAAGGAAGAGUAAUUGCUUGCUGUGCUAAUAAGUGAAUAAAAAUGAGGGAAGGCGUCAUACAAAUUGUUAAAGAAAGGUAAGAACACACACAGGGAUUAAAUCACCUGAGAAGGCAUCAACAGCACUGAUUGCUUUUAAUGGGCACAUGAGGAGGCAUGUUUCUGUUUUCCAAGUAAGUAUCUGGAAGGAAAAGUUCAGUGCAGCAGUAGGAGUUGUUAUUACAGAUUGAUUUAUGGAUACAGGAGAGGACGUACUUAAGGAUCUCUGUUUGCUUCGUGUUGGCAGCUUCAUAUGACACAGUCCAUUAAUUUUUGAAGGCUCCAGUCCUGUUGGCUUGAGAGUAUCUUGGUUUUUUCAUGUUGAUUGGUAAAGCUUUUCAUGCCUGGGCUUGGUCUUGACUCCUUUAGGGGCUCAUUAUCUGUCUUUGGGGUGUCACCUCUUGGGGACAUCUUUCGGAAUACAGGAGAAGCCGUGUUGGCUUCAGUAAAGGACCAAAAGACAUUUAAUCUUGAUUUGAGAGCUCAAAUGCCAGAGAAGCUACCACAGGCUUUAUUUGCAGUGGUUAAUUAUUUCCACUUUUUAAAAAGGUGAACUUUACUUCCAGCCUUAAAUCUGGAGCUUCCAGCUGUUGAAUUG
Neopelma chrysocephalum (saffron-crested tyrant-manakin) is the source of this 1809-nucleotide long non-coding RNA. RefSeq lists it as uncharacterized. The transcript is spliced from 3 exons. Lineage: Eukaryota; Metazoa; Chordata; Aves; Passeriformes; Pipridae. The record is from RefSeq and is a predicted model, not a curated record.